GUAAAGUGGCGAACGGGUGAGUAGCACGUGGGUAACCUGCCCCGAGGCGGGGGAUAACCCGGCGAAAGCCGGGCUAAUACGCCAUAAGCCUGGAGGACUGCGGUUUUUCAGGGAAAGGGUGUUUUCGGAUAUUCGCCUUGGGAGGGGCCCGCGUCUGAUUAGCUAGUUGGUGGGGUAAAAGCCUACCAAGGCGACGAUCGGUAGCCGGUCUGAGAGGACGGACGGCCACACUGGAACUGAGACACGGUCCAGACUCCUACGGGAGGCAGCAGUGGGGAAUUUUGGGCAAUGGGCGCAAGCCUGACCCAGCAACGCCGCGUGGGGGAAGAAGGUCUUCGGAUUGUAAACUCCUGUCCUUGGGGAAGAAGAGAGUGACGGUACCCGAGGAGGAAGCCCCGGCUAACUCCGUGCCAGCAGCCGCGGUAAUACGGGGGGGGCAAGCGUUGUUCGGAAUCACUGGGCGUAAAGGGCGCGCAGGCGGCUUGGGAAGUUUUGGGUGAAAGUCCCCGGCUUAACCGGGGAAGGUCCUGAGAAACCACCGAGCUGGAGUGCUGGAGAGGGAAGCGGAAUUCCCGGUGUAGCGGUGAAAUGCGUAGAUAUCGGGAGGAAGACCAGAGGCGAAG
Molecule: ribosomal RNA, 623 nt
Filed under: uncultured bacterium
Lineage: Bacteria
Description: bacterial SSU rRNA
Rfam family: Bacterial small subunit ribosomal RNA
Source: RNAcentral